Molecule: small nuclear RNA, 165 nt
Organism: Onychomys torridus (southern grasshopper mouse)
Lineage: Eukaryota; Metazoa; Chordata; Mammalia; Rodentia; Cricetidae
Product: U1 spliceosomal RNA
Exons: 1
Source: RefSeq, a predicted model, not a curated record
CAUUUUACCUGGGAGGGGAGUGUGAUUGCAGAGGUGGAUUUCACGUCUCAGGGUGAGGCUUAUCCGGAUGUGCUGACCCCUCAAUUUCCCCAAAUGUGGGAGUUGACUGCAUAAUUUGUGGGAGGGAAGCCAGGCCAGGCGGUGGUGGCACACGCCUUUCAUCCC